This 547-nucleotide ribosomal RNA is filed under the name Myonycteris angolensis (Angolan soft-furred fruit bat). RNAcentral's name for it is "partial 16S ribosomal RNA". It matches the Rfam family "Bacterial large subunit ribosomal RNA", at positions 1816 to 2597 of the family's 2925-position model. Lineage: Eukaryota; Metazoa; Chordata; Mammalia; Chiroptera; Pteropodidae. The record is from RNAcentral.
CACCUCCAGCAUAACAAUUAUUGGAGGCACUGCCUGCCCAGUGACAUCCGUUAAACGGCCGCGGUAUUCUGACCGUGCAAAGGUAGCAUAAUCAUUUGUUCUUUAAAUAAGGACUUGUAUGAAUGGCCACACGAGGGUUUUACUGUCUCUUACUUCCAAUCAGUGAAAUUGACCUUCCCGUGAAGAGGCGGGAAUUCACAAAUAAGACGAGAAGACCCUAUGGAGCUUUAAUUAACUAGUCCAUAAAAUAAACACUACACUUCCAAGGAAAACAAUCAACUUUUUACUGGACUACGAAUUUAGGUUGGGGUGACCUCGGAAUAUAAAAUAACUCCCGAGUGAUAUAGUCCAGACCAACAAGUCGAAACCAUUAUCAUUUAGUGAUCCAAUUUCUUUUGAUCAACGGAACAAGUUACCCUAGGGAUAACAGCGCAAUCCUAUUUGAGAGUCCAUAUCGACAAUAGGGUUUACGACCUCGAUGUUGGAUCAGGACAUCCUAAUGGUGCAGCCGCUAUUAAUGGUUCGUUUGUUCAACGAUUAAAGUCCU